This 773-nucleotide ribosomal RNA is filed under the name uncultured Neocallimastigales. RNAcentral's name for it is "partial large subunit ribosomal RNA". It matches the Rfam family "Eukaryotic large subunit ribosomal RNA", at positions 24 to 635 of the family's 3401-position model. The record is from RNAcentral. Lineage: Eukaryota; Fungi; Neocallimastigomycota; Neocallimastigomycetes; Neocallimastigales.
UAUCUCUGUAGAGUCUGCAUAUCAAUAAGCGGAGGAAAAGAAACUAACUAGGAUUCCCUUAGUAACGGCGAGUGAAGCGGGAAGAGCUCAAAUUUGAAAUCUUCAAGGUUCUACCUUGACGAAUUGUAGUUUAAAGAAGUGUUUUCUGUUAGAUGAGUAGCAAAAGUUCCUUGGAAUGGGACAUCAUAGAGGGUGAGAAUCCCGUAUUUGGUUAUUCAUUCUAGCUUUGUGAUACACUUUCAAAGAGUCGGAUUGUUUGGGAAUGCAGUCCUAAAUGGGUGGUAAAUUUCAUCUAAAGCUAAAUAUUGGCGAGAGACCGAUAGCGAACAAGUACCGUGAGGGAAAGAUGAAAAGAACUUUGAAAAGAGAGUUAAUCAGUACGUGAAAUUGUCAAAAGGGAAGCGUUUGACACCAGUGUUGUUUUUCCGAAAAUCAAUUACGAAUGGCUUGAUUUUGUGUUGUAUUGACCUUAUCAGCUUUCUUCACUUUUUUCGAGUCUUUCUUAAUGCACUUUUGGUUAACAAGUCAACAUCAAUUUCUUUUGUUGUAAAAGAGUAUUCGGAAGGUGGCUUUCUUUUCGGAGAAAGUGUUUAUAGCCCUAUACUUCUACAAUCGGAGAGAUUGAGGUCUGCAGCGUAGAUCCUUCGGGGUUAGAUACACUUGUGCUAAGUUGUAGCUUUUCAUAGACAACUUGUUGACUAUGUUUAGUCAUGCGGCUUACUCGCUUGUGCUAUUUUACCUACGCUUAGGAUGUUGAAGAUGUAGCACAUCAU